UGGGGAAUAUUGCACAAUGGAGGGAACUUUGAUGCAGCGACGCCGCGUGAACGAGGAAGGCUUUCGAGUCGUAAAGUUCUUUUAUAUGGGAAGAUAAUGACGGUACCAUAAGAAAAAGCCCCGGCUAACUACGUGCCAGCAGCCGCGGUAAUACGUAGGGGGCUAGCGUUGUCCGGAAUCACUGGGCGUAAAGGGUUCGCAGGCGGAAAUGCAAGUCAGGUGUAAAAGGCAGUAGCUUAACUACUGUAAGCAUUUGAAACUGCAUAUCUUGAGAAGAGUAGAGGUAAGUGGAAUUUUUAGUGUAGCGGUGAAAUGCGUAGAUAUUAAAAAGAAUACCGGUGGCGAAGGCGACUUACUGGGCUCAUUCUGACGCUGAGGAACGAAAGCGUGGGUAGCAAACAGG
RNAcentral lists this ribosomal RNA (403 nucleotides) under bacterium. RNAcentral's name for it is "partial 16S ribosomal RNA". It matches the Rfam family "Bacterial small subunit ribosomal RNA", at positions 355 to 776 of the family's 1533-position model. The record is from RNAcentral.